This 62-nucleotide ribosomal RNA is filed under the name Vibrio parahaemolyticus. Lineage: Bacteria; Pseudomonadati; Pseudomonadota; Gammaproteobacteria; Vibrionales; Vibrionaceae. The record is from RNAcentral.
CUUGGCGACCAUAGCGUUUUGGACCCACCUGACUCCAUUCCGAACUCAGAAGUGAAACGAAA